CAGUAGCCGCGGUAAUACGUAGGUCCCGAGCGUUGUCCGGAUUUAUUGGGCGUAAAGGGAGCGCAGGCGGUUUAGUAAGUCUGAAGUUAAAGGCAUUGGCUCAACCAAUGUAUGCUUUGGAAACUGGGAAACUUGAGUGCAGAAGAGGAGAGUGGAAUUCCACGUGUAGCGGUGAAAUGCGUAGAGAUGUGGAGGAACACCAGUGGCGAAGGCGACUCUCUGGUCUGUAACUGACGCUGAGGAGCGAAAGCGUGAGGAGCGAACAGGAUUAGAUACCCCUGUAGUCCCUGUCUCUUAUACC
RNAcentral lists this ribosomal RNA (301 nucleotides) under uncultured bacterium. RNAcentral describes it as "partial 16S ribosomal RNA". It matches the Rfam family "Bacterial small subunit ribosomal RNA", at positions 509 to 808 of the family's 1533-position model. The record is from RNAcentral.